Molecule: long non-coding RNA, 335 nt
Filed under: Hordeum vulgare
Lineage: Eukaryota; Viridiplantae; Streptophyta; Magnoliopsida; Poales; Poaceae
Description: long non-coding RNA (HVUL_LNC013633)
Source: RNAcentral
AGAGGUUGGUUUAAACGCCGACCGUCGCAGGUCUGAGUUCUGCUCGGCCACACUGCAGAUCUCCAUGAGCGCCAUGGCAGAAUUGUAUUGCACCUCGCCUUCACCCUUUUCAAGAAGAACCGCAAAGCAGAGAAGAGCCCUUGACUCGGUGAUGCUCUUGCAGAUAGCGGCAUUUCCCUUGGCGAGGUGCCACAGAGCCUUGGCGGCAUUUGCCUUCAUGUAUGCCUUGGUCUCGGGGUCCUCGAACUCCCUGCCCCUUGUAGUCAUCCCUGACAGCGAUGCAUUAUGCUGCUUUGACGCGAUAGCACCACCGCCGUUACUGCCCUUGCUGCUGC